RNAcentral lists this ribosomal RNA (334 nucleotides) under uncultured eukaryote. Its description in RNAcentral is "partial 18S ribosomal RNA". It matches the Rfam family "Eukaryotic small subunit ribosomal RNA", at positions 1470 to 1796 of the family's 1831-position model. The record is from RNAcentral.
CCCUUAGAUGUCCGGGGCCGCACGCGCGCUACACUGAAGGAAUCAGCGUGGCUUUCUCCCUGACCCGAAAGGGUUGGGAAACCCGUUGAAUCUCCUUCGUGAUAGGGAUUGGGGCUUGAAAUUGUUCCCCAUGAACGAGGAAUUCCCAGUAAGCGCGAGUCGUAAGCUCGCGUUGAUUACGUCCCUGCCCUUUGUACACACCGCCCGUCGCUACUACCGAUUGAACGGUUUAGUGAGGGCCUCGGAUUGGUCUCGGCCCGCUCUUCACCGGGCGGCGCCGUUGGUCGAGAAGACGCUCGAACUUGAUCGUUUAGAGGAAGUAAAAGUCGUAACA